RNAcentral lists this transfer RNA (71 nucleotides) under Solenodon paradoxus paradoxus. Its description in RNAcentral is "tRNA-Thr". The record is from RNAcentral. Lineage: Eukaryota; Metazoa; Chordata; Mammalia; Eulipotyphla; Solenodontidae. RNAcentral also lists the same sequence under 1 other name.
GUCUUUGUAAUAUAUAUAUAAUUAUACUGGUCUUGUAAACCAGAAAAGGACAACAAAUAGUCCCUAAGACA